AAAACACUAACGAACGCUGGCGGCAGGCCUAACACAUGCAAGUCGAGGGGCAUCACAUGAGGUAGCAAUACUUCUGGUGGCGACCGGCGCACGGGUGAGUAACACGUAUGCAACCUGCCUUCAACAAGGGCAUAACCCGUUGAAAGACGGACUAAUUCCCUAUGACACAGGGGUCCCGCAUGGGGAUAUUUGUUAAAGAUAUUAUCGGUUGAAGAUGGGCAUGCGUUCCAUUAGCUUGUUGGCGGGGUAACGGCCCACCAAGGCAACGAUGGAUAGGGGAACUGAGAGGUUUAUCCCCCACACUGGUACUGAGACACGGACCAG
RNAcentral lists this ribosomal RNA (324 nucleotides) under uncultured bacterium. RNAcentral's name for it is "bacterial SSU rRNA". It matches the Rfam family "Bacterial small subunit ribosomal RNA", at positions 29 to 334 of the family's 1533-position model. The record is from RNAcentral.